GGGAAAUCUUAGAGAUAAAUGCUAUGUAUUGGGAUGAGAUGUUAAUGGGGUUUCUAUAAUUAAGUGUUUAAAUUUGGUAUGGUCCCCAAUAAGCACAUAUUCUUUGUUGACUUUUAUCAAGAAAAUGUUCUCCACAAUUCCAUAUCAUUAUUAGCCUCACAAAUUAUUAUUGCACUUUUGAAAUAAGGUGGAAUAAUGGCUUUUUAUCUCUUUUUU
This 216-nucleotide unclassified non-coding RNA is filed under the name Hevea brasiliensis (rubber tree). The record is from RNAcentral. Lineage: Eukaryota; Viridiplantae; Streptophyta; Magnoliopsida; Malpighiales; Euphorbiaceae.